RNAcentral lists this ribosomal RNA (450 nucleotides) under uncultured bacterium. RNAcentral's name for it is "partial 16S ribosomal RNA". It matches the Rfam family "Bacterial small subunit ribosomal RNA", at positions 354 to 796 of the family's 1533-position model. The record is from RNAcentral.
GUGGGGAAUUUUGGACAAUGGGCGCAAGCCUGAUCCAGCAAUGCCGCGUGCAGGAAGAAGGCCUUCGGGUUGUAAACUGCUUUUGUACGGAACGAAACGGUCCGGGUUAAUACCCUGGGCUAAUGACGGUACCGUAAGAAUAAGCACCGGCUAACUACGUGCCAGCAGCCGCGGUAAUACGUAGGGUGCAAGCGUUAAUCGGAAUUACUGGGCGUAAAGCGUGCGCAGGCGGUUUUGUAAGACAGGCGUGAAAUCCCCGGGCUAGACCUGGGAAUUGCGCUUGUGACUGCAAGGCUGGAGUGCGGCAGAGGGGGAUGGAAUUCCGCGUGUAGCAGUGAAAUGCGUAGAUAUGCGGAGGAACACCGAUGGCGAAGGCAAUCCCCUGGGCCUGCACUGACGCUCAUGCACGAAAGCGUGGGGAGCAAACAGGAUUAGAAACCCCAGUAGUCC